Molecule: unclassified non-coding RNA, 278 nt
Filed under: rhizosphere metagenome
Description: partial ribosomal RNA internal transcribed spacer region
Source: RNAcentral
GUAGGUGAACCUGCGGAAGGAUCAUUAACACAAUACAUUUACCCAAAUGUAUUUUAACCCCCCUUCGCAAACUUGUUUCAUAUUGUUUUCCCGGAUUUGGAGAGGUCGUACGUAAAGUACGUGCUUUUUUAAAUCUGUGGUUUUCAAACCUUUAUAUAACCCCUUGAACUGUCUUUGACUGAAACUCUGAGCUAUGACAGCUUUUUUUAUAAAACCUGUCAUACCUCUGCCAUAUAUCAAACGCUGAACAACUCUUAGCAACGGAUAUCUUGGCUCUC